AAAGGUGCAACAGUAUCAGAAUAAUUCUGCUUGAUGAAUAGAGAAAAGGAAGUUGGUUACCAAAUCAGACGCGUGACAUCGUUCGUGGAUUUGGACACAGCACCGGGAAUACGCACUAGAUAUUUAAAAUAUACACGCAUUCUUGUGCGCGUUCGAGCACAUGUGCGCUAAAUAUCUAGUUGUAGUUAAGGACGAGACGUCGGGAAGAAAGUAACUGUCUUCUCUUCCCGUCUCUCCACACACCAUACCAGAAGACAAUUCGAAGCGAGGUCAAGGCCUUUCGCUACAUUUCCACCACGUCAAUCGCGAUCGAUCGACCAGCACGAAUGCAUUGUAUGUAUAUAUAUUUAUAUCCACAUGGCUGUUUAUCGUGACAGUUAUUCCCUACGGAGGUUAAACUUUGCUCUAGCUUCUCAACAGUUCAUAGUGACGUACGGCGAUGUAAAGUAAAUCGACAGUUAUUUGCUUGUACGUUUACAAAAAUUUGCAAAGAUAUUAACCACCUAUCAAACAAAAUGUUGUAUAUUUAAGCACAUCCUCCCUAG
This 545-nucleotide unclassified non-coding RNA is filed under the name Bombus terrestris (buff-tailed bumblebee). RNAcentral's name for it is "misc RNA ENSBTSG00005037254.1". The record is from RNAcentral. Lineage: Eukaryota; Metazoa; Arthropoda; Insecta; Hymenoptera; Apidae.